RNAcentral lists this transfer RNA (73 nucleotides) under Ailuropoda melanoleuca (giant panda). It matches the Rfam family "tRNA". Rfam says of the family: Transfer RNA (tRNA) molecules are approximately 80 nucleotides in length. Their secondary structure includes four short double-helical elements and three loops (D, anti-codon, and T loops). The record is from Rfam by way of RNAcentral. Lineage: Eukaryota; Metazoa; Chordata; Mammalia; Carnivora; Ursidae.
ACCCAGCUGGCUCAGUCAGUAGAGCAUGGGACUCUUGAUCUUGGGGUCAUGAGUUCAAGCCCCACGUUGGGUG